CUGGAGGAAAAAUAGGUGUUAUGUUAUAUGUGAUGAUACACCACACCAUCUGCACCAACUUUUCCAAAAUCCUAGUUUACCUAUGGGAGUUGCAUAGGUGCUGACUGGAGUGAAGUUCCGAAGUCUUCUGAUACUAUGGUGGAUCCAAGGAGGCAGUUGGGAAGUAACUGUUCCCAGACCUCUCCCCCAGUCCACAGAUAUGCAUGUCGUAAGUCCCCAGGUAAAAAAGGACUUGUGCAGAAAACUAUUACAGUAUUAAAUAAUCUUCCAAAAACAGCCUGGAAGAAGUCCCAAUCAACUGAGUCCUUUGAAGUGGUAAAACUAUAGACAAAAGAAGAGAGACAAGAUGAGAUAAUAGGUCACUUCCAUCUCUAGUUUUUGUUAGAGCUAAUUAUCAGUCACUA
Molecule: long non-coding RNA, 404 nt
Organism: Gavialis gangeticus (Gharial)
Lineage: Eukaryota; Metazoa; Chordata; Crocodylia; Gavialidae
Exons: 3
Source: RefSeq, a predicted model, not a curated record